AUGCAGAGUCCUCGUGGGCUGUGUCUCAUAAUGCACACUCUCUGAGAGGAGUUACAUGCUGCUACGUGCUGUGGCAAAUGGCAUUUAGACCAGGAGUUUCUAAAAAGCAAAGAAAGCGUGGAUUUGUCACGCUGCUGGUACCCGCGGGUAUGCCAUCAGCCCGGACGAUAACCAGGAUUUCUCACAGGACCAGAGCUGGUGAAGGACGCAAGGGAGAGCAGCUGCCUCGUACGGGGUGGGUGCGGUGUCAGGAGAGCUGGGACGCUUUGUCGGAAACUUUCAUGGCAUUUCUCGACAGAGGAGAAAGCAAGGAGAGUCUCACUGCCUCUUUCAUGCAUGCUCAAACAUCAUUUGGGGCUCCUCCGGAUGAAGUGUUUGACUCCAGCUGCCAACCUCAGCUGAACUUCAGAAAAAGAGGGAAGUACAUCAGCUAGUGUUGGGGAUGAAAAAUCAAGUGAUAACGCAGGCUGCUGUGUGAUUCCCGCUUAUGCCACUGGAGGGGCUGAAGCAAUCAGACUUGUCUUGCUUCAUUUUAUUGCUUUAAAUUUACGCUGUAGCCCACCAGCAUCAGCAGAGAAGCUGGAGCUAGAGAUGAUCACACAGACGAGCUUGUCCUCUCUCUUUCACUGACUUUUAUCUUCUGUUCAAAAAGUUGCAUAGCUGUGAGCUGCAUAAAGAUACUGACUUCACAUUUUUUUUCACUGAAAUCCCUGUACCUGCCUCUGAUCAGCUUAAGAAGUUGUAAGCUUGCACAGAACUGUGAGAGAUCUGUGCAGAAGUUUUUCCCUUGGUUAAUACUGACUGACCAGUGCAGAAAUAUGUUUUUGUGUAUGUAUUUAAAUGUCAGCUGUUCUGAUCUCCGUCUUGAAGCUUAUAUUGCUUACUGCAAAACCUCACAAGCUUUCUGACAAUUCUUUGUGUAGCAGAACAAGCCCUCUAUGCAAAAAAUAACAGUCAAGCAGUGGGUCAGGUUGGUGUUACUCUCAGCUGUAUGCAUCAGUAGGUGCUGAGGGACUGAGGGGCAGAGAUGUGUACGUACCUCAUGCUUGGCUAUUUUCCCCUGCAGAUAAUGCAUAGAUAGAGUUAGUCUUUUCCCCUGGAGCUUUAGAAAGCCCUACCCAAGAAAAAUUAGCUGUGUAAAAGCAUGUGUCGUGCUUAACUCUUCAAGCAGAGGGAGUGCGUGAUUAACUGUGCUAGCAGAGGAUGAUGCUGCACUAGAGGAUGUGGUGAGAGAUGCAGAGUUAAAACAGCACAAAAAUAAGAACCAUGGGUCAGAACUCAUUCUGUUAGGAGAAAAGCAAUUGGAUAGGAACUGCCAUCCAUUCACAUAAAAGAGUAUCUGUUGUACUUUAAAUUCAAGUCAUAGCAGGACUCAGAACUGUGCUACUGGGAAAGAGAGAGCAUCUCAACAAGAUACUGAAACGUGGAAGAAGAUGGAACAUUUAUGAAAUACUGAGAAGUUGUGUGUGAUUUAUACCAUAUCUUUUAAGCCACAAACCUUUGUUCCUCAGCUAGGCAUUUGUCCUGCCUUGGGUUCCUCAAUAGCGAGGGGGUAGAGGAGAACUCCUGCUUGGUGUCAUUCCUUACAUCUCAAAAGGUAGCAAAGCAUCACUGUGUGUUCAUACAGUGCCCACGAGCAAUACUGUAGGUCUUUGUGAAAAUUAUAACACAAAGAAUGAUGAAAGAAAUGGGAUACACCACAUUUGCCAAAUCUGGUAAUAUUGUUCUCUUUCAUAUAUUCAAUAAUAAUUAAAAAAGAGCCAUGAAAGAUUCAGUUUUAGCUAAUCUGCUAAUGAAAAAGAAAUAAUAUAUCUGUUCUUCUGGUGUGUUUCAAUUACAGCAAUGACAACCAUCAAUAAAAACAGUAAAAUAAGUGAGUAUGAGUUGCA
RNAcentral lists this long non-coding RNA (1889 nucleotides) under Anas platyrhynchos platyrhynchos (common mallard). RNAcentral's name for it is "lncRNA (ENSAPLG00000016968.1)". Lineage: Eukaryota; Metazoa; Chordata; Aves; Anseriformes; Anatidae. The record is from RNAcentral.